UUUUUGUUUCCUGUUAGUCAUCAUCACACCGGGAUUUAAGAGAACAAGGUCCGCAUUUACCCACACAGGUGACAAUCAGGACCAAUUGCAAGUCUGUCAAUACCAAGUGAAGGUCAAAAGACAUCACGUGAUUAAAGGCUUUGCAGAAAUUUGGAUGGAAAAAUAUGUUGGGGGAAUGGAAUCGUCCCAUCACAAACAAUACCCUUUCUUCAGUUCUUCAAUGUUUUCACCGGGUAUUAGAAGAAAUUCCAUUUGGGGAAUAGACAGAUUCCUGUCUUCCAUUAUGCAAGCAUCUGCAGGAAGCAAAUAUGGCAAAUUAUUAGAGAGAAGGUAGAAGGAAGGAAGAGAGAUGAGGAUGUUGAACUCUCCAGGCCAAGGCCGUCAUGGCAGGAAGGUGUGCAGGUGCACACCUGGAUGUCCUCCAGUUGAGUAAGACUGAAAGACAGACAUUGGGACACUGAAACGGGCUCUCCAGAAAGGCCGCCAACUGGAAAUGCCCAACAGUUAAGAAAAUCACCUGGAUUUGACGUUGAAGUGUUACCUGGAUCUCUGGAGAAACUUUAAAGAAGAUAUUUUUGUUGACCUGAGGUGAAAUGUUUGAGAUGAUGGGCAGAGCAUCUCACGAUUUGGUGUUCAAAUUGUAAGAAACUGCAGUUGUGUUUGGUAAACGUUGCAUUUUAAAGCUGUUCAAAUUAGACUUCGUUGGACUCCUGGAGGUUGAAAGAUAGAGGGGUUCAGUAGAAAGAGCAUGACACAAAAUGACCUGACUUCCAAUGUCACCCUAUCACUUAGUCAACAUCUGACAUUGG
RNAcentral lists this long non-coding RNA (809 nucleotides) under Equus caballus (horse). Its description in RNAcentral is "lncRNA (ENSECAG00000040205.3)". The record is from RNAcentral. Lineage: Eukaryota; Metazoa; Chordata; Mammalia; Perissodactyla; Equidae.